This 591-nucleotide ribosomal RNA is filed under the name Tetracapsuloides bryosalmonae. RNAcentral's name for it is "SSU rRNA". It matches the Rfam family "Eukaryotic small subunit ribosomal RNA", at positions 871 to 1490 of the family's 1831-position model. The record is from RNAcentral. Lineage: Eukaryota; Metazoa; Cnidaria; Myxozoa; Malacovalvulida; Saccosporidae.
AAAAGAGACAUUUGGGGGCAUAAGAACUCGGGCCGCGAGAGGUGAAAUUCUAAGACCGGCCGAGGUCUAACAAAAGCGAAAGCAUUUGCCAAGAAUGUUUUCAUUGAUCAAGAACGAAAGUUGGAGGAGCGAAAACGAUCAGAUACCGUUGUAGUUCCAACUUUAAACUAUGCCGGCUGUCGGGGCCAGUUCGGUACAUCCGUACUAAUUGACCUCCCAGGGAAACCUUAGCAGGGUUCUGGGGGGAGUACGGUCGCAAGUCUGAAACUUAAAGGAAUUGACGGAAGGGCACCACCAGGAGUGGAGCCUGCGGCUUAAUUUGACUCAACGCGGGGAAACUUACCCGGUCCGGACAUCGGAAGGAUUGACAGACUGAUCGCUCUUUCAUGAUACGGUGAAAGGUGGUGCAUGGCCGUUCAUAGUUGGUGGAGCGAUUUGUCUGGUUAAUUCCGUUAACGAACGAGACUUCUUCCUUCAUUUAGUAGAUUUAAUUGGGGUUUAGAUCAACUAAUUGAAGGGACUAACGCUAUUUAAAAGCGUAGGAAGUAAUCCGAUAACAGGUCUGUUAUGCCCUUAGAUGUCCGGGGCCGC